Molecule: ribosomal RNA, 439 nt
Filed under: uncultured bacterium
Lineage: Bacteria
Description: partial 16S ribosomal RNA
Rfam family: Bacterial small subunit ribosomal RNA
Source: RNAcentral
CCUACGGGAGGCAGCAGUGGGGAAUAUUGCACAAUGGGGGAAACCCUGAUGCAGCGACGCCGCGUGAGUGAAGAAGGAUUUCGGUAUGUAAAGCUCUAUCAGCAGGGAAGAAAAUGACGGUACCUGAGGAAGAAGCCCCGGCGAACUACGUGCCAGCAGCCGCGGUAAGACGUAGGGGGCAAGCGUUAUCCGGAUUUACUGGGUGUCCGGGAGCGUAGACGGGAGCACCAGGCGGGAGGGAAAUGCCGGGGCUUAACCCCGGAACUGCGUUGGAAACUGUGCAGCUAGAGUGCAGGAGAGGUAAGUGGCAUUCCUCGUGUCGCGGUUACAUGCGUCGAUCUUAGGAGGCACCCCAGUGGCGACGGCGGCUUACUGGACUGUAACUGACGUUGAGGCUCGAACGCGUGGGGAGCACACAGGAUUAGAUACCCGGGUAGUC